AUGUCGCUGAAGUUGCUUUGGAAGAUCUUUCUGCUGGGUCUGCUGCUCCCGAGCCUGGCAGCAGCCUCACCGCAGCCCUGCUCUGCCCCACCUGCCCAGCAGCUGGCACACCACACCUGCUGGCACCCAGGGGCUGACUCACUGAACCGUACAGUGGCAUGCAGCACUUUUUUUUUACCAGGCUCUGCAUUGAGUGUUCUGCCUGCAAACAUCACAGCUGCCCUGGGGCAUUUAACCCAGGCUGUGUGGCUUUUGCAUCUUGCCCCUCCAUGGGUGGGACCCUGCCUGCAUGCAUCGCUGCAGAGAGACGGCGCUCAGCAAGCACCAGUGCUGGUCAGUAACGCUCAGCAAGCAGCCAGCGUUACACCCAGACAGACUGCAGAGAGCUGGCCUUCACGUCCAGCUUUCCCUGUGCCAACAGGCCAUGUGCUCAGAGCCUGCACGGCUCCUGCCAGCGCUGGGGUGCCCGCGGGUGCUCCCCAGGUCACCAUCCGCAGGGUGCAGCCUGACCCCAUGUGGCAGCACAGGUCCCGGGGACAGGGUGCUGGGACCAGCCCCUGUUUGGCUAAGGUGUUAUCCCGGAUACCCCAGCGGCUACGCCUCCCUUCCCGGCAGGUGCCUGAUUCAUCGGAGGCGGGCGGGUGCUCCUGGAAGGCAGGCAGGUGUUCUGCUCUGCAGCUCGCCAGGGCUCGUCUUUCAAGCCUGGUUUUGAGCCACGUCGGCUCUCUUUCUGUAUGCAGCCAGGCUCCCAUAGCUGACAUCUUCUGCACGCUGGAAAGGUGCUGCAGCUCCUUCCCUGCCCUGCUCCUGCCUCUCCAGGACUUCACCUCGGCUCACAAAGCGAGUAAUGACAGCGGCACAGGAACACCUUUGUAUUGUCCUGUGUGUCACAGCACGAAGCCCGUGCCACUGCUCCCAUGCAGGGGGCAGGAGGAUUCACCUGAAUUUGCACCUGUUCUAGACCUUGUCUGCAGCGAUUCAGGUGCACCUGCCCUAGAAAGCAGCCCCAUGAAUGUCUGCCCCUUCUGUUGGCAAGGUACUGCCCACAUCUUGCCUUGCUUUUGCAUGUGGACUACGGCAGGGCAUUGGUUUGUUUUUCAAAGUGCAAUACUGACAUUUGCAGACUCAGCCGCACAUUGCAGGGGUGGCUGUGAAGCAAUUGCUUACCAAACCACAGUUCUGCCCACAGGCCCCGAGCUCACACAGCGCACACCCACGUGGCGCUGGGCAGCACAAAAGUCUCCAUGCAGCAGCCAGCGAUGCUGGUGGGAAAAAGGAGCAAUCCCGAGGACAUCCCAGCGCUGCCACAGCUGCAGGCAGCCACCUGCCGUGUCCUUGUCUCAGCAUUCAUCAGGUGGCUUUGCCCAGGAGCCCCCUCUGUGCCCUUUAGGUGGGUGA
This 1398-nucleotide long non-coding RNA is filed under the name Anas platyrhynchos (mallard). Its description in RNAcentral is "lncRNA (ENSAPLG00020012453.1)". The record is from RNAcentral. Lineage: Eukaryota; Metazoa; Chordata; Aves; Anseriformes; Anatidae.